This 253-nucleotide ribosomal RNA is filed under the name uncultured bacterium. RNAcentral's name for it is "partial 16S ribosomal RNA". It matches the Rfam family "Bacterial small subunit ribosomal RNA", at positions 524 to 776 of the family's 1533-position model. The record is from RNAcentral.
UACAGAGGGUGCGAGCGUUAAUCGGAAUUACUGGGCGUAAAGCGCGCGCAGGCGGUUUCUUAAGUCUGAUGUGAAAGCCCACGGCUCAACCGUGGAGGGUCAUUGGAAACUGGGGAACUUGAGUGCAGAAGAGAAAAGCGGAAUUCCACGUGUAGCGGUGAAAUGCGUAGAGAUGUGGAGGAACACCAGUGGCGAAGGCGGCUUUUUGGUCUGUAACUGACGCUGAGGCGCGAAAGCGUGGGGAGCAAACAGG